RNAcentral lists this ribosomal RNA (700 nucleotides) under uncultured Nitratireductor sp. RNAcentral's name for it is "bacterial SSU rRNA". It matches the Rfam family "Bacterial small subunit ribosomal RNA", at positions 62 to 807 of the family's 1533-position model. Lineage: Bacteria; Pseudomonadati; Pseudomonadota; Alphaproteobacteria; Hyphomicrobiales; Phyllobacteriaceae. The record is from RNAcentral.
UCGAGCGCCCCCGCAAGGGGGAGCGGCGGACGGGUGAGUAACGCGUGGGAAUUUUCCUCAAGGUACGGAACAACUCAGGGAAACUUGGGCUAAUACCGUAUGAUGUCUAGCGACCAAAGAUUUAUCGCCUUGGGAUAAGCCCGCGUCAGAUUAGGUAGUUGGUGGGGUAACGGCCUACCAAGCCUGCGAUCUGUAGCUGGUCUGAGAGGACGAUCAGCCACACUGGGACUGAGACACGGCCCAGACUCCUACGGGAGGCAGCAGUGGGGAAUCUUGCGCAAUGGGCGAAAGCCUGACGCAGCCAUGCCGCGUGAAUGAUGAAGGUCUUAGGAUUGUAAAGUUCUUUCGCCCGUGACGAUGAUGACGGUAACGGGAGAAGAAGCCCCGGCUAACUUCGUGCCAGCAGCCGCGGUAAUACGAAGGGGGCUAGCGUUGUUCGGAAUUACUGGGCGUAAAGCGCGCGUAGGCGGUUUUGCAAGCCAGAGGUGAAAUGCCUGAGCUCAACUUAGGAAUUGCCUUUGGGACUGCGAGGCUUUGAGGACUGGAGAGGUGAGUGGAAUUCCCAGUGUAGAGGUGAAAUUCGUAGAUAUUGGGAAGAACACCAGUGGCGAAGGCGGCUCACUGGCCAGUUUCUGACGCUGCAGCGCGAAAGCGUGGGGAUCAAACAGGAUUAGAUACCCUGGUAGUCCACGCUGUAAAC